This is a long non-coding RNA of Oncorhynchus nerka (sockeye salmon), 1460 nucleotides long. RefSeq lists it as uncharacterized. Lineage: Eukaryota; Metazoa; Chordata; Actinopteri; Salmoniformes; Salmonidae. The record is from RefSeq and is a predicted model, not a curated record. The transcript has 3 exons.
UAAACUGCGGAAGGUUCUAAGUUAUAUCAUCAGACUCAGACUACAACAGACCACUGACUGCUCACUGCUGUAGAUCAUUCAGCAAGCAGCCUGGAAACUCCAGAGACAAGUUCCACAUCAUAGUUUACACGUCAUUAAGAUUCUAACUCCUAUAGCUUUUAAUAGACCGACCAAGCGACAGACUUCAUUCAUAAUGCAUGAAUGAAAUGAUAGUCAUUGCCCGGGACUAAACUAACUGGGGCAUGUUAUCUAAUGUUGACUAAACCAUCAGAAACAGGGAGGGACUAACCUGAACUUGUCAAGUGAGAAACGCUUAUUCUAAUUGCAAAAAAAUGUUGCACUAAUUGAAUACACACCAAGAAAGUAUGAAACGGCAUUCCUGCUGGUGACAACUACAAAAAAAACUAUUUUCAGGAGCCAAACGCUGUCGAAUGUUGCCGAUAGAAAUGUCAAGAAUAGAUGUGAUUCCUUCUGCUAAAUGUCAGAGGCAUGUUUGUCCUACAUCGGUUAUUUUAUAUCUGUUCAAAAACGUUGCGUCUUGCUGAACCGCCCCCAAAACAGUUUUUAUAUACGGAAGUAUAAGUGAAAGUAAAAUAGGUAUAGGGAAACACACACGGUCACUGUAGCAGCAGACAACUAGUAGAUUUAAUUGUCUAUAGGAAAUGCCAAAACAUUAGCAUACAGUCUAGUUUGAUGUGUUUCCUAAUAUCCUUUCAGGUGGUAUUACUAUCAUCCAGUGAUCCACAUAACAUGAGGAUGAACCCUGCUAUUCUCCACUCAGGCGGAGAGAGAAAGACGAGUAAACGAUAAGAUCCUGCGUUUUUGGUCAUGUAGGAAAACCAUGUCAAAUGAACGUUCAGAAGAAUAACCAAAGGCACAAUGGCAACCACUAAACGGACUGCUGUGAACUAUGUCACAGAUCGCAAACUGGACCUUAUCAGAUUGCUCAAGGAUCUGACACUUAUUGUUGACAACCUUCAGCAGCAGAGAGUUUUCCUCAAUGAGGAAGUGGAAGUUAUUAAUAGUAAGGAGACAAGAAGUGACAAAGCCAGAGAAAUACUGGACAGAGUCGUUAAAAAGGGAGAAGCUGCAUGCUACAAGUUACUGGAGAUUCUGUACAUUACGAGACAGAGGACAUUACUGGAGCCUUCCUCUGAUUCAAAGGACAGACGGCAGCAUGACCUGUACCACUGGAUCAGCUGCUUCCCAUUCAAGGAAGACCAAGAGGUGGACACUGACAUCUUUGAAGGCUCAAUAGCCUGUCACAGAUAUCAGACACAGCUGAAAUGUAAAGCACGGAAGAUCACAGAGGGUGCAUGGAAACAAAGCUGUAGUCUCCUACCAGAGAGAUGUAGAACUGAGGGGACUUUCUCUUACACCCCAAUUGUGUUAGAUACAGACGUGCAUUCAUCUCUCUCUAAAAUUAAAGUGAAGAGCAAAAGAUGCAAGAAAGCUCGGCC